Molecule: ribosomal RNA, 504 nt
Filed under: Dujonia zeylanoides
Lineage: Eukaryota; Fungi; Ascomycota; Pichiomycetes; Serinales; Debaryomycetaceae
Description: [Candida] zeylanoides partial large subunit ribosomal RNA
Rfam family: Eukaryotic large subunit ribosomal RNA
Source: RNAcentral
ACAGGGAUUGCCUCAGUAACGGCGAGUGAAGCGGCAAAAGCUCAAAUUUGAAAUCUAGCACUUUCAGUGUUCGAGUUGUAAUUUGAAGAAGGUAACUUUGGUUUUGGCUCUUGUCUAUGUUCCUUGGAACAGGACGUCACAGAGGGUGAGAAUCCCGUGCGAUGAGAUGCCCAAUUCCAUGUAAAGUGCUUUCGAAGAGUCGAGUUGUUUGGGAAUGCAGCUCUAAGUGGGUGGUAAAUUCCAUCUAAAGCUAAAUAUUGGCGAGAGACCGAUAGCGAACAAGUACAGUGAUGGAAAGAUGAAAAGAACUUUGAAAAGAGAGUGAAAAAGUACGUGAAAUUGUUGAAAGGGAAGGGCUUGAGAUCAGACUUGGUAUUUUGCGUUCCCUUCCUUUUUGGUUGGGUUCCUCGCAGUUUACUGGGCCAGCAUCGGUUUGGAUGGUAGGAUAAUGACAUUGGAAUGUAGCUUUACUUCGGUGAAGUGUUAUAGACUUUGUUGAUACUG